GGUCCGUUGGCCCAAUGGUAAGGCGUCUGACUACGACUUGCAAGCAAAGCGUCAAGUUAAUCAGGAGAUUCUGGGUUCGACCCCCAGGCGGACCU
Annulohypoxylon nitens is the source of this 95-nucleotide non-coding RNA. NCBI's taxonomy places the organism in Eukaryota, Fungi, Ascomycota, Sordariomycetes, Xylariales, Hypoxylaceae. The record is from the annotation of a GenBank genome assembly.